RNAcentral lists this ribosomal RNA (284 nucleotides) under uncultured bacterium. RNAcentral describes it as "partial 16S ribosomal RNA". It matches the Rfam family "Bacterial small subunit ribosomal RNA", at positions 335 to 610 of the family's 1533-position model. The record is from RNAcentral.
ACUCCUACGGGAGGCAGCAGUGGGGAAUAUUGCACAAUGGGGAAAGCCCUCGAUGCAGCCAUGCCGCGUGUGUGAAGAAGGCCUUCGGGUUGUAAAGCACUUUCAGUGGGGAGGAAAGGUUGAUGGUUAAUACCUAUCAGCUGUGACGUUACCCACAGAAGAAGCACCGGCUAACUCCGUGCCAGCAGCCGCGGUAAUACGGAGGGUGCAAGCGUUAAUCGGAAUUACUGGGCGUAAAGCGUGCGCAGGCGGUCUGUUAAGCGAGAUGUGAAAGCCCCGGCUGC